UACACAGAUUCAACACAUCUUAUUAAGAAAACAGGCUUUUCAUUGCCAUUGAAAACGAGGGGUUAGUAAGACUGUAACCUCCAUCAACAGCCAAAUUGAUCCCACUGAUAUACUUGGACUCGUCACUUGCAAGAUACAAGGCUGCCUGCGCAAUAUCAUCAGCUUCCAACACCACCCCUUUCAAGUUCGCUGCUGAUGAAACAAGUUCCUCAAUUUCCUUCUUCCCCAAAAUUCCAAAAGCACUUUUCACCAUCGGGGUUGCAACCCCAAAUGGUGAAAUACUAUUAACCCUAAUCCCAUACUGUCCUAACUCCACGCAUAAAUUCUUGGCAAGUCCCACCACAGCAUAUUUUGAUGCUAUGUAUGCAUAUGGACAAUCCGUGCAACAUACAGAAACUAUACUUGAUGUGAAAAGUAUGCACCCUUUCUUGGCUGGGAUCAUUACUCUAGCAGCAUGUUUUGCACCCAAGAACGCACCAAAAAUAUUCACAUCAAGCACCUUCUUGAAAUCUUCAUUCUCUGUAGCUAAGAUUUUUUCUUCCGGUUUGCCUGAAAUUCCAGCAUUGUUGAACAUUAUAUCGAGCUUUCCAUACCUGGAAACGGCAGUAUCCACAGCGUUUCGAACAUC
RNAcentral lists this unclassified non-coding RNA (628 nucleotides) under Hevea brasiliensis (rubber tree). The record is from RNAcentral. Lineage: Eukaryota; Viridiplantae; Streptophyta; Magnoliopsida; Malpighiales; Euphorbiaceae.